Long non-coding RNA from Chenopodium quinoa (quinoa), 3102 nucleotides. RefSeq lists it as uncharacterized. NCBI's taxonomy places the organism in Eukaryota, Viridiplantae, Streptophyta, Magnoliopsida, Caryophyllales, Amaranthaceae. The transcript is spliced from 2 exons. The record is from RefSeq and is a predicted model, not a curated record.
CUGUCCGCCAUAGCCGGAUUCAAUCUUGAAUGGGUGGUGUUCGUUGGUGUUUGGGUGAUUUUCAGAUGUUGGGGUUUUUUUUUUAAAAAAAAUUUCUGAUUUUUUUUUUUUUAAUUUCUGACUUUUUUUUUAGAAUGAGAAAAUUUUAGAGAGAGAGAAUGUUGGUAGUGAAAUGACUCGUAAGUUAGUUUCGCGAGUAUUUAUAUACGAGGGGUAAAUUAGUAAAUUUAAGUAAAAAAUGCGAGCGUCGCUAUGUAAUUUACGAACGACGUUUAAGGACACCCGAUAAUUAUGGAGUAUGUAUAGUCAAAUUCUCGUAAUUAUAGCCUUCCAAGAUUCUAGGAUAUUAGUUCAUAGUUUAGUGGCUAGAAUCUUGGAUGUACAACAUAUUCACGCAUCAAGCAAAUCAAGAAUUCACUUUCAUUUUGCUUUUGAAGAAUCUCAUUCAGUCUCUCUCCUCACUCUUCUUCUUCCAUCUUUUCCACUCUGCACUCUCAUCUCCUUCUCCAUAUUUUGGGAGCUAAUAAUAAAGCUGGCUGCACGAGCUGUUCUUCAAGAGCAACCAAGAGGGGAGGAGAGAGAAAAUCAAACAAUGUCAAAAUCAUCCCAUGUAUUCAUUGGAUCAAUUGAUCAAGGAACAACAAGCACAUCUAUGAUGGAUCUACAACAGCAAUUGGAUCUCAUCAGAUUGAAUUCACCUAGUUUUAAUUUUGGUUGAGAUGUUAUUCUUGUUUUGGAUUAAUUUAAUUAUUAUAUUUUGUAGUGAUAUAUUGCGAUUUUAAUUCUGGAAUAAGUAUUAUUAAUUUUCUUAGUUUAAUCUGGCCCAAUUAAAGCAAGCUUUAUAAAUUGACUUUUUUUUUUGGGUUUAGUUUAGUGGGUUGUGUAUAAGCUAUUGGAAUCAAGAAGAGGCCGGGUGUGUUUAUGUUAGUCUUUGUGUGCUCUUAUUGUAGAUUAGUUAGUUAAUUUGUUUUGAACUUGGUUUAGCAAUUACAAAAAUAGCUAAUUAAGUGUGUGUGCGGUGUUAUGUAAGUAGCUGUGUGUGCGGUGUUAUGUAAGUAGCUGUGGGUUGCUAUUGUAAUUUAGUUAGGUAAUUUCAAGGGAUAUUAGUUAGUUUAUUUGAUCUGAAAUUUGUGUGGUGCUAUUGUAACUUAGUGAAUUUGAACUGGAACUUGUUAGUUUAUUUGAUCUGAAAUUUGUUUAGCACCUUUUACAAAAGUUUGGUUUGAUGUGAAAUUGGCUUAGCAACUAUAAAAAUUGUCUGUGAAGGUAAUUCGGAUUAUCUUUAUUGGGGAAUUUGUCAAAUAGUUAUGUUGCUUAAUGUAAUUGACAAUUUUUGAGGCUGCUAUUAAGGCUUCAUCGGUUUUUUGGAUCUAAAUAAUUUAGGUAACAUGUAAUUCCAAUUCAUUAAAUCAAAUUGAAUAAAGAUGAUUAGUAACUUGGUGUAGGCAUCACUCUUCUUUUUUGGCUCAAAAUAUCAGCAAUUCUUAGACUGUACGUUACUUCUGAAUAGGCUGUAUAGAAUAGGGUAUGGGUUAUCAGGUAUUAUUGGUGUAUAUAGAUUGUUUUCAUAUCUAUUCUACUGUUUGAUAUACAUACUGUAAUUAAAAAAAAAAGGUACAAAAAGGUUGCACUUGUACUUUCGCUUACUUGUGUUGUAUUGUUUGUAGAGCUGUGACUUGGGUCUGUUGUACUUCCAUUAGUCUUGCUUUUACUUUAUAUUUAUUGUUUUGGUAGAAUAUAUAGAUUACAUAUAUAUUAUAUUACAUACAUACAAUUGAGUAAGCCCAAUUAGAGUAUAAAAGUGGGAAGUCUUGACAUAUGUACAUGCAGAGAGAACAAAUGGAUUGUUAAUUUAGUGAGGAAUUCAGCGUGUUGAUGAAAUUUUGCGUAAGGUUAGUUGUAUGUUGCAUUUCUUCAUGUGUUUUUUUGGGGUUUUGUGUAGUUAAUUUAGUGUUCUUAUUAAAUUUGCUCUUGAAAUUGAAGGUUUUUACAAGUUGAGUUUGAUUUGGAGUAAGGAGCUGCUUCAGUUGAUAUUCAAGUGGUUGUUUUGUGUUUGCUUUAGAUUGUGCUAUUACGGUGGGUAGUUCCUGUUGUUAUAUGCUUUGUGAUAAUGAACUUUGGUUAUUGUCUGCUUAUAGAUAAGGUCAAUUAUUGAUAUCAGAUGUGUGUGCUAUUUAUUUUAGGCUAAUGAUUGUUGAUAUGAGCUAUUAUGUUGUAUAUAUGUUGAUUCAAGAUAAUAUUAAUUCACGUAGUUUAAGUGUGAUGCUUUUUGGGUUUACCUCUUUUGAGGAGGAACAUGUUUAUUUGAAAAGGAGUUUUCUAGACUUGCUAAGAUAAAUUAUGGUACUGAAUGGUGAAUAAUUUUCUUACAUUAGAAACUGUCUGCAUGGCUUUUGUUAUAGAAUUUUCAAUAUUUUCCUUGUAUUUCUUGCUGCUACUGCUUUCUUGUGCAUUUAUUUUGUCACGUGUAUGUGACCACUAUGGUAGAGGAAUUGGUUAAAAAAAAAAACAAAAAAAAAAAAACCUUAUGGCUGAUUUACAUCAGAAUUUUGAGAUACUUGAUCAAAGAACAGAACACCUAGCUUAUCAGACCAAGGCUAGAUUCGAUGCUUUCUCUAACUAAUAAUUGACAACACAAGAAAAUGAAAAAGGAUAGUUAUGAUGAGUUCCAGUGGUGAUGAGGGUGAAUCAAAGUGCUCAAAAUCGAUUGGUAGGGGUAUCAAGCUCAAUGAUUUAACUGGCCUUGGAAGACCAGAAGACUUUCUUGAGGGAAGAGGUAAGUAAGAGAUGAAGAUGAACAAUGCACUUUUAAUUUUUUCCCCUCUCUGGUCUUUUGAUUGCCUAAACACAAGAACAUGAACCUUGGAACCUGAAGAAAACAGGAUCAGAAAGCUUUUGAAGAGAUGAAGGUGAAUGAUGAAAGAGCAAGAGGGUUAGCAUACCCUUAGGCUUUUUGUACUUCAUCUCUUGCUCUUUGCUCAUUUAUUGUUAUUCUGUAAUUUUUCAUAAUUUCUAUCUACCAAAGCUGUAAUUUGAAUAGGAUAGACUUGCUCAAUUAUAUUAGGGUCAUGGGAAGUGAUCCUCCAGAGUUUUAGACUUUUA